Molecule: ribosomal RNA, 253 nt
Filed under: uncultured bacterium
Lineage: Bacteria
Description: partial 16S ribosomal RNA
Rfam family: Bacterial small subunit ribosomal RNA
Source: RNAcentral
UACGUAGGGGGCGAGCGUUGUCCGGAUUUAUUGGGCGUAAAGGGCGUGUAGGCGGCCUGCUAAGUCGGAGGUGAAAUCCCUCGGCUUAACCGGGGAACUGCGUCUGAUACUGGAUGGCUUGAGUUCGGGAGAGGGAUGCGGAAUUCCAGGUGUAGCGGUGAAAUGCGUAGAUAUCUGGAGGAACACCGGUGGCGAAGGCGGCAUCCUGGACCGACACUGACGCUGAGGAGCGAAAGCCAGGGGAGCAAACGGG